RNAcentral lists this ribosomal RNA (253 nucleotides) under uncultured bacterium. Its description in RNAcentral is "partial 16S ribosomal RNA". It matches the Rfam family "Bacterial small subunit ribosomal RNA", at positions 524 to 776 of the family's 1533-position model. The record is from RNAcentral.
GACAGGGGGCUCGAGCGUUAAUCGGAAUCACUGGGCUUAAAGGGUGCGUAGGCGGGCCAGUAAGCGUCUUGUGAAAUCCCCCGGCUCAACCGGGGAACUGCGGGGCGAACUGCUGGUCUUGAGGAAGCUAGAGGCUGGUAGAACGAUUGGUGGAGCGGUGGAAUGCGUAGAUAUCAAUCGGAAUGCCGAAAGUGAAGACAGCCGGCUGGGGCUUUCCUGACGCUGAGGCACGAAAGCGUGGGGAGCAAACGGG